GGUUGAGAUCGCGGGUAGGAGAUUUGGAGUGGACGCCUUGGUUGGUCUUUCCUUCUUUAGCUGGAUUCUUCAAACUAGAUGCGGUUGAGAUCGCGGGUAAAAGAUUUGAAGUGGAUGCCUGCAUCAAUUUCGCAUAGAAUUAAGUAAUUGGUGUUAAAUAGAUGAGAUGGACAGAGAAAGCAAGUAUUGUUGUGAUUCAAUCUAGUAUUCCUUUCUCUAUACUUGUGUAAGUAUGUUAGUACUUUUUAAUACUGUAUUUUUCUAUUUCUUUCUCAUAUUGCAAGUAAGACGAGCAUGGUGUAUGCAAUGAAAAUAGUA
Molecule: long non-coding RNA, 318 nt
Filed under: Phoenix dactylifera (date palm)
Lineage: Eukaryota; Viridiplantae; Streptophyta; Magnoliopsida; Arecales; Arecaceae
Description: long non-coding RNA (PDAC_LNC012991)
Source: RNAcentral